UACGGAGGAGGCAAGCGUUAUCCGGAAUUAUUGGGCGUAAAGCGUCCGAAGGUGGUUCACCAAGUCUGCUGUCAAAGGGUGGGGCUUAACCUCAUAAAGGCAGUGGAAACUGGUGAGCUAGAGUGCGGUAGGGGUAAGGGGAAUUCCCAGUGUAGCGGUGAAAUGCGUAGAGAUUGGGAAGAACAUCGGUGGCGAAAGCGCCUUACUGGGACUGCAAUGACACUGAGGGACGAAAGCUAGGGGAGCGAAAGGG
RNAcentral lists this ribosomal RNA (253 nucleotides) under uncultured bacterium. Its description in RNAcentral is "partial 16S ribosomal RNA". It matches the Rfam family "Bacterial small subunit ribosomal RNA", at positions 524 to 776 of the family's 1533-position model. The record is from RNAcentral.